Molecule: unclassified non-coding RNA, 221 nt
Filed under: fungal sp.
Lineage: Eukaryota; Fungi
Description: partial internal transcribed spacer region
Rfam family: Eukaryotic small subunit ribosomal RNA (bases 1-46)
Source: RNAcentral
AAGUCGUAACAAGGUUUCCGUAGGUGAACCUGCGGAAGGAUCAUUACCAGUAGUCGGUCCGCGGCCUCGGCCCGGUCCACUCACCCUGUGCGUACUGUAGAAGCGUUGCUUUGGCGGGUCUCGCGGCCCGCCAGAGGUUUUUACCACCCUGACCUGUGUGAUACUGUCUGAGUGUCAUUGACAAUACAUUAAAACUUUCAACAACGGAUCUCUUGGUUCCA